AGAGUUUGAUCAUGGCUCAGGAUGAACGCUAGCUACAGGCUUAACACAUGCAAGUCGAGGGGAAACGACAUCGAAAGCUUGCUUUUGAUGGGCGUCGACCGGCGCACGGGUGAGUAACGCGUAUCCAACCUGCCCACCACUUGGGGAUAACCUUGCGAAAGUAAGACUAAUACCCAAUGACGUCUCUAGAAGACAUCUGAAAGAGAUUAAAGAUUUAUCGGUGAUGGAUGGGGAUGCGUCUGAUUAGCUUGUUGGCGGGGUAACGCCACAAGGCGACGAUCAGGUAGGGGUUCUGAGAGGAACGGUCCCCCANAUUGGAACUGAGACACGGUCCAAACUCGUACGGGAGCA
RNAcentral lists this ribosomal RNA (351 nucleotides) under uncultured bacterium. RNAcentral describes it as "bacterial SSU rRNA". It matches the Rfam family "Bacterial small subunit ribosomal RNA", at positions 8 to 349 of the family's 1533-position model. The record is from RNAcentral.